GAUGAACGCUGGCGGCGUGCCUAAUACAUGCAAGUCGAGCGAACGGACGAGAAGCUUGCUCCUCUGAUGUUAGCGGCGGACGGGCGAGUAACACGUGGAUAACCUACCUAUAAUACUGGGAUAACUUCGGGAAACCGGAGCUAAUAACGGCUAAUAUUUUGAACCGCAUGGUUCAAAAGUGAAAGACGGUCUUGCUGUCACUUAUAGCUGGAUCCGCGCUGCAUUAGCUAGUUGGUAAGGUAACGGCCUACCAAGGCAACGAUGCAUAGCCGACCUGAGAGGGUGAUCGGCCACACUGGAACUGAGACACGGUACAGACUCCUACGGGAGGCAGCAGUAGGGAAUCUUGGGCAAUGGGCGAAAGCCUGACGGAGCAACGCCGCGUGAGUGAUGAAGGUCUUCGGAUCGUAAAACUCUGUUAUUAGGGAAGAACAUAUGUGUAAGUAACUGUGCACAUCUUGACGGUACCUAAUCAGAAAGCCACGGCUAACUACGUG
RNAcentral lists this ribosomal RNA (497 nucleotides) under uncultured bacterium. RNAcentral describes it as "partial 16S ribosomal RNA". It matches the Rfam family "Bacterial small subunit ribosomal RNA", at positions 28 to 507 of the family's 1533-position model. The record is from RNAcentral.